Molecule: ribosomal RNA, 254 nt
Filed under: uncultured bacterium
Lineage: Bacteria
Description: partial 16S ribosomal RNA
Rfam family: Bacterial small subunit ribosomal RNA
Source: RNAcentral
CACGUAGGGGACGAGCGUUGUCCGGAUUCAUUGGGCGUAAAGCGCGCGUAGGCGGCUCGGAAAGUCGGUCGUGAAAUGCCGGGGCUCAACCCCGGGACUGCGUCCGAUACUCCCGAGCUGGAGGCAGGUAGGGGAGAUCGGAAUUCCUGGUGUAGCGGUGAAAUGCGCAGAUAUCAGGAGGAACACCGGUGGCGAAGGCGGAUCUCUGGGCCUUGCCUGACGCUGAGGCGCGAAAGCUAGGGGAGCGAACAGGA